GUAGUCCACGCCGUAAACGGUGGGUACUAGGUGUGGGUUUCCUUCCUUGGGAUCCGUGCCGUAGCUAACGCAUUAAGUACCCCGCCUGGGGAGUACGGCCGCAAGGCUAAAACUCAAAGAAAUUGACGGGGGCCCGCACAAGCGGCGGAGCAUGUGGAUUAAUUCGAUGCAACGCGAAGAACCUUACCUGGGUUUGACAUGCACAGGACGUGCCUAGAGAUAGGUAUUCCCUUGUGGCCUGUGUGCAGGUGGUGCAUGGCUGUCGUCAGCUCGUGUCAUGAGAUGUUGGGUUAAGUCCCGCAACGAGCGCAACCCUUAUCUUAUGUUGCCAGCGCGUAAUGGCGGGGACUCGUGAGAGACUGCCGGGGUCAACUCGGAGGAAGGUGGGGAUGACGUCAAGUCAUCAUGCCCCUUAUGUCCAGGGCUUCACACAUGCUACAAUGGCCGGUACAAAGGGCUGCGAUGCCGUGAGGUGGAGCGAAUCCUUUCAAAGCCGGUCUCAGUUCGGAUCGGGGUCUGCAACUCGACCCCGUGAAGUCGGAGUCGCUAGUAAUCGCAGAUCAGCAACGCUGCGGUGAAUA
RNAcentral lists this ribosomal RNA (581 nucleotides) under uncultured Mycobacterium sp. Its description in RNAcentral is "bacterial SSU rRNA". It matches the Rfam family "Bacterial small subunit ribosomal RNA", at positions 790 to 1368 of the family's 1533-position model. The record is from RNAcentral. Lineage: Bacteria; Bacillati; Actinomycetota; Actinomycetes; Mycobacteriales; Mycobacteriaceae.